Molecule: ribosomal RNA, 398 nt
Filed under: Sympetrum pedemontanum
Lineage: Eukaryota; Metazoa; Arthropoda; Insecta; Odonata; Libellulidae
Description: partial 12S ribosomal RNA
Rfam family: Microsporidia small subunit ribosomal RNA
Source: RNAcentral
UUGUUAUGUUCUUAAAACCCAAAGAAUUUGGCGGUAUUUUAUUUCUUUUAGAGGAACCUGUCCUAUAAUUGAUAAUCCACGAAAGGAUUUACUUAUUCUUGUUUUCAUUUGGUAUACCUCCGUCAUCAGGGUAUCCUUUUAGGGUUUAAUAUUCUUAAUAUAUAAAAUAUAAUAUGUCAGGUCAAGGUGCAAUUUAUGAGUAAGUAGAGAUGGGUUACAAUGAAAUUAUUUAGACGAAUUAUUAUUUUUAAGGAUAAUAUGAAGGUGGAUUUAAAAGUAAAAUUAUUUUAUUUAUUAUUUUGACUAUAGCUCUAAAAUAUGCACACAUCGCCCGUCGCUCUUAUUUUAAAAUAAGAUAAGUCGUAACAUAGUAGGUGUACCGGAAGGUGUUCCUAGAA